Pongo abelii (Sumatran orangutan) is the source of this 148-nucleotide unclassified non-coding RNA. It matches the Rfam family "Metazoan signal recognition particle RNA". Rfam says of the family: The signal recognition particle (SRP) is a universally conserved ribonucleoprotein. The record is from Ensembl. Lineage: Eukaryota; Metazoa; Chordata; Mammalia; Primates; Hominidae.
GCCGGGCGUGGUGGCGCACGCCUGUAGCCCCAGCUACUCGGGAGGCUGAGGCAGGAGAAUCAUUUGAACCCGGGAGGCAGAGGGUGCAGUCAGCCAAGAUCGUACUACUGCACUCCAGCCUGGGUGACAGAGUGAGACUCUGUCUCAA